This 476-nucleotide ribosomal RNA is filed under the name uncultured anaerobic ammonium-oxidizing bacterium. RNAcentral describes it as "bacterial SSU rRNA". It matches the Rfam family "Bacterial small subunit ribosomal RNA", at positions 364 to 832 of the family's 1533-position model. The record is from RNAcentral.
UUUCGCAAUGCCCGAAAGGGUGACAAUGCGACGCCGCGUGAGCGAUGAAGGCCUUCGGGUUGUAAAGCUCUGUCAGCUCGGAUGAAGGCAGAAAGGCGAAUAGCCUUUCUGAUUGACGGUACGAGCGAAGGAAGCCACGGCUAACUCUGUGCCAGCAGCCGCGGUAAUACAGAGGUGGCAAGCGUUGUUCGGAAUCACUGGGCAUAAAGCGCGCGUAGGCGGCAUGGUAAGUCGGGUGUGAAAUCCCUCGGCCCAACCGAGGAAUUGCGCUCGAAACUACCGUGCUUGAGGACAGGAGGGGAGCCUGGAAUUCCUGGUGGAGCGGUGAAAUGCGUUGAUAUCAGGAGGAACACCGGCGGCGAAGGCGAGGCUCUGGCCUGUUUCUGACGCUGAGGCGCGAAAGCUAGGGGAGCAAACGGGAUUAGAUACCCCGGUAGUCCUAGCCGUAAACGAUGGGCACUAAGUAGAGGGGUUUU